UACAGAGGGUGCGAGCGUUGUCCGGAAUCACUGGGCGUAAAGGGCGCGUAGGUGGUUGGGUAAGCGUGUGGUGAAAGCCCGGGGCUCAACCCCGGGUCGGCCAUGCGAACUGCCCGACUGGAGCAUGGUAGAGGCCAAUGGAAUUCCGGGUGUAGCGGUGGAAUGCGUAGAGAUCCGGAAGAACACCGGUGGCGAAGGCGGUUGGCUGGGCCAUGGCUGACACUGAGGCGCGACAGCGUGGGGAGCAAACAGG
Molecule: ribosomal RNA, 253 nt
Filed under: uncultured bacterium
Lineage: Bacteria
Description: partial 16S ribosomal RNA
Rfam family: Bacterial small subunit ribosomal RNA
Source: RNAcentral